Molecule: ribosomal RNA, 1299 nt
Filed under: metagenome
Description: SSU rRNA
Rfam family: Eukaryotic small subunit ribosomal RNA
Source: RNAcentral
AUUGGGUUCCGGCAUUGGAAUGAGAACAAUAUAAAUCUUUUAACGAGGAUCUAGUGGAGGGCAAGUCUGGUGCCAGCAGCCGCGGUAAUUCCAGCUCCGCAAGUGUAUAUCUAUGUUGCUGCGGUUAAAAAGCUCGUAGUUGGAUCUGCGUGUUUAGCGUCCGGUUCGACUUUUGGUCGUUACUGGAACGCGACACAGAUGUGCUGGUUUGCCGUUGAUGCUCUUAACCGGGUGUCAGUGGCGGCUAGCGAGUUUACUUUGAAAAAAUUAGAGUGCUCAAAACAGGCGUUUCGCCUGAAUAUUUCUGCAUGGAAUAAUAGAAUAGGACUUCGAUUCUAUUCUGUUGGUUUUCGGAAUGCGAAGUAAUGAUUAAGAGGGACAGACGGGGGCAUUCGUACUGCGACGUUAGAGGUGAAAUUCUUGGAUCGUCGCAAGACGUACUACUGCGAAGGCAUUUGCCAAGAAUGUUUUCAUUAAUCAAGAACGAAAGAUAUGGGUUCGAAGGCGAUCAGAUACCGCCCUAGUCAUAACCGUAAACGAUUCAAACUGGGCGCCCGACGGUGUUUUUAUUGACCCGUCGGGAACCCUCCCGGAAACGAAAGUGUUCGUGUUCCGGGGGAAAUAUGUCUGCAAAGAGGAAACUUAAAGGAAUUGACGGAAGGGCACCACCAGGGGUGGAGCCUGCGGCUUAAUUUGACCCAACACGGGGAAACUCACCCGGCCCGGACACCGUAAGGAUUGACAGAUUGAGAGCUCUUUCUUGAUUCGGUGGGUGGUGGUGCAUGGCCGUUCUUAGUUGGUGGAGUGAUUUGUCUGGUUUAUUCCGAUAACGAACGAGACUCUGGCCUGCUAACUAGUGUUCACAUCUUUACGUGUGCUUCGCUUCUUAGAGGGACAGGCGGCUUCCAGCCGCAUGAAGAAGAGCAAUAACAGGUCUGUGAUGCCCUUAGAUGUCCGGGGCUGCACGCGCGCUACACUGAAAGAAUCAGCGUGUACGUUACCUGGCUCGAAAGAGUCGGGUAAUCCGGUGAAAAUCUUUCGUGAUUGGGAUCGGGACUUGCAAUUAUUUCCCUUGAACGAGGAAUCCCUAGUAAGUGCGGGUCAUCAGCUCGCGCUGAUUACGUCCCUGCCCUUUGUACACACCGCCCGUCGCUGCCCGGAACUGAGCCGUUUCGAGAAAAAUGGGGACUGUCUACUUGAGGUCUUCACGGACUUUUUGUAAAUGGAAACCGCUUUAAUCGCAGCGGCUUGAACCGGGCAAAAGUCGUAACAAGGUUUCCGUAGGUGAACCUGCGGAAG